This is a non-coding RNA of Monodelphis domestica (gray short-tailed opossum), 141 nucleotides long. Lineage: Eukaryota; Metazoa; Chordata; Mammalia; Didelphimorphia; Didelphidae. The record is from Ensembl.
ACAGUCAAGAUUACACAGGACUUGACUUUGACCUAGAGUAAAUUCUCAGGAAAAAUGGGAUUUUAAUUUUGCAGUAACAGGUGUGAGCAUUCUAGCAGCAGUUUGAUAGUUUGAUGAUCAUGUAUAAUACUGCAAACAAUA